UGAGGAAUCUUGCGCAAUGGGGGAAACCCUGACGCAGCAACGCCGCGUGAGUGAGGAAGGCCUUCGGGUCGUAAAGCUCUGUCAGAUGGAAAGAAAUGCAUGGGGGUUAACAGCCUUCAUGCUUGACGGUACCAUCAGAGGAAGCACCGGCUAACUCCGUGCCAGCAGCCGCGGUAAUACGGGGGGUGCAAGCGUUGUUCGGAAUCAUUGGGCGUAAAGAGCGUGUAGGCGGCUUGAUAAGUCAGAUGUGAAAGCCCUGGGCUCAACCUGGGAAGUGCAUUUGAAACUGUCAUGCUUGAGUAGGGGAGAGGGAAGUGGAAUUCCUGGUGUAGAGGUGAAAUUCGUAGAUAUCAGGAGGAACACCGGUGGCGAAGGCGACUUCCUGGCCCUAUACUGACGCUGAGACGCGAGAGCGUGGGUAGCAAACAGG
RNAcentral lists this ribosomal RNA (430 nucleotides) under uncultured Syntrophaceae bacterium. RNAcentral's name for it is "bacterial SSU rRNA". It matches the Rfam family "Bacterial small subunit ribosomal RNA", at positions 355 to 776 of the family's 1533-position model. The record is from RNAcentral. Lineage: Bacteria; Pseudomonadati; Thermodesulfobacteriota; Syntrophia; Syntrophales; Syntrophaceae.